GGCUGUGGCUCAGUGGUAGAGCGCUUGCCUAGAAUGUGCGAGGUGCUGGGUUCGAUACUUAGCACCA
This 67-nucleotide transfer RNA is filed under the name Marmota monax (woodchuck). RNAcentral describes it as "tRNA.Ser". The record is from RNAcentral. Lineage: Eukaryota; Metazoa; Chordata; Mammalia; Rodentia; Sciuridae.